Molecule: long non-coding RNA, 960 nt
Filed under: Mytilus galloprovincialis (Mediterranean mussel)
Lineage: Eukaryota; Metazoa; Mollusca; Bivalvia; Mytilida; Mytilidae
Source: RNAcentral
GUUUUAUAUUGUUACCAUAAGGGUCUAGAAUGGGGGGUCCUUAUUUUUAUUUUUCUGUAUAAUACUAUUUGAUUAUAAGGGAGGCAUAUGUCUUAAUUUUUUAAUAGUUAACGCUUAUUCUGUAAAAUUCUAUCUGUAAAAGAUUAAUUUCUAUUUUCCCAAUUUCUUCUUUUUUCUUUACGCCCCACAAUUCUCUCUUUAUUUUUUUGUUCGUCUUUAUUUUUAUAGUUUUUAGAUAACUAUUCUGAAACUCCAUCUAGACCCCUGAGUUAUAUUAUUUUCUAUGAAUAUGGCUUUUAUUGUAUUUACACCUUGCUUGUCUGUUCAUCCAACCAAUAUUUUUACCCUAUUUUAUCUCCGAUAAAGCUGAACAAAAUUAUUGUAUAUUUGGUCAGCAUUUGACCGUGAUGAACUCUAACACGUGUGACCUCUAUGUGGAUCCACUAGAAAUCCACUUCAAUAUGUAUUGUCUCCGUUAAAUCAUGUUCAAGUAAUUCUCAGCAAAAAAUCUUCAGAUUUACUCUACGUUUAAGUUAAUAUUGAUAAGUUGUAACAUGAAUGUGGGCACUUUUUAUGCCCCUCGCGGUCACCGGAGGCGUUACUCUUGUCCGUCUGUACGUUAGUCCGAAAAUUGGUUUCAAGUCUCUAACGUAAUUAUUUUGUCUCGCCCAAAUGGUAUGAAACUUAUAUUCUGGCAAUGCUUAUCACCAGAAAAUACAGUUAAAUUUUGAAUUUGAGUGGGGUCGUUUCUACCGAUCUCGAGUAAUGCUCCUAUAUAAUUUACAUGCAAGCAGAUGUAUCAUUUAUUUUACAGACACCUACUACCUCUGAUAACUAUUUUUUCCGGUACGUAUUUCCACAAGUGGAGGUAUACUUAUCACGAUUAAACGUACGCUCUUGUUUCUUUCAAUUAUGAUUGAAUAUUUUAACAAAUGCGUCUGUGUGUAGGUGUGUGUGUAU